Molecule: ribosomal RNA, 472 nt
Filed under: uncultured bacterium
Lineage: Bacteria
Description: SSU rRNA
Rfam family: Bacterial small subunit ribosomal RNA
Source: RNAcentral
AGGACGAACGCUGGCGGCGUGCUUAACACAUGCAAGUCGAGCGGAAAGGCCCUUCGGGGUACUCGAGCGGCGAACGGGUGAGUAACACGUGAGCAACCUGCCCUUAGCUCCGGGAUAGCUCCGGGAAACCGGAAUUAAUACCGGAUAUGACCUAGGCCGACAUCGGCUGUGGUGGAAAGUUUUUCGGCUGGGGAUGGACUCGCGGCCUAUCAGCUUGUUGGUGGGGUAAUGGCCUACCAAGGCGACGACGGGUAGCCGGCCUGAGAGGGCGACCGGCCACACUGGGACUGAGACACGGCCCAGACUCCUACGGGAGGCAGCAGUGGGAAUCUUGCGCAAUGGGCGAAAGCCUGACGCAGCGACGCCGCGUGGGGGAUGAAGGCCUUCGGGUUGUAAACCCCUUUCAGCAGGGACGAAGCGAAAGUGACGGUACCUGCAGAAGAAGCGCCGGCUACUACGCGCCAGCAGCCGC